Molecule: ribosomal RNA, 216 nt
Filed under: Glomeromycotina sp.
Lineage: Eukaryota; Fungi; Glomeromycota
Description: partial small subunit ribosomal RNA
Rfam family: Eukaryotic small subunit ribosomal RNA (bases 40-216)
Source: RNAcentral
GGGUCAGUAGGUUGGUCGUGCCACCGGUACGUACUGGUCUCACUGAUUCCUCAUUCCUGAAGAACCGUAAUGCCAUUAAUUUGGUGUUGCGGGGAAACAGGACUGUUACUUUGAAAAAAUUAGAGUGUUUAAAGCAAGCUAACGCUUGAAUACAUUAGCAUGGAAUAAUGGAAUAGGACGAUCGAUCCUAUUUUGUUGGUUUCUAGGAUUGACGUA